GCCUUCUUGGCUCAGUUGGCAGAGCGUCUGCCUAGUAUUUAGCAGAAGGUCGUCAGUUCGAUUCUGGCAGAAGGC
RNAcentral lists this transfer RNA (75 nucleotides) under Rhizophagus irregularis DAOM 181602=DAOM 197198. RNAcentral describes it as "tRNA-Thr". It matches the Rfam family "tRNA". From Rfam's summary of the family: Transfer RNA (tRNA) molecules are approximately 80 nucleotides in length. Their secondary structure includes four short double-helical elements and three loops (D, anti-codon, and T loops). Lineage: Eukaryota; Fungi; Glomeromycota; Glomeromycetes; Glomerales; Glomeraceae. The record is from RNAcentral.